GGUCAUGUGACGCCCGGACCCGCGACUUGUGGCCGGCAGGGCGAGCUGGGGCACGGGGACCGCUCUGACCCAGGGACGUGUCUGCCUCUGGGACGUAGACAGGUGCACGAGCGCCGUAAGGGAUGUCCAGGUGCCCAGGCCGAAUGGUGCACCCCUGGACGUGCACAGAGAAGUACUGGUCCUUUGUGAGGAGGCCCCGCCGUUUGUUUAUCUCGCCCCUGUUCUGGACAUCUGCCUUUCAACCCACUUUCUUUAGCCACGUCUGCUUUUCUUCCUCCCUCAUUGCACCUGUCCGCCCUCCAGCUUUUAGACUCCAGUGGCUCCUGCACAGCCCUGCACCUCCGCAUCCUCCAGCCUUUGGGCCGCUCCUUCAA
Molecule: long non-coding RNA, 374 nt
Filed under: Equus caballus (horse)
Lineage: Eukaryota; Metazoa; Chordata; Mammalia; Perissodactyla; Equidae
Description: lncRNA (ENSECAG00000049986.1)
Source: RNAcentral